CUGACAGUUUGGCUUCCCUGUUCCAGGUGGCAAAGCCUGUGGGGUAUUCACCUACCUGCUGCAUGAAGGCAGCAUGGAGGGACUGUGGUGGAUUAUCUGCAAAGAUGGCCCAAAUUCUCUCAUCCCUGCAGGUACAUACAAGUUUUGAGAAGAAUGCAAAGAAGAAGGGAAGAGUGAGCCUCUCUUUUCCCAUCGUUACCCUCCAUUGUCCUCUUGACACCCUGCUUUUGCAGACAGAGAGUUUGAGACCCUCUCCCAGGAGCCAAGGAGAGGGGAACAGCUGGCUUCACAUCAUCUUUCUAUUCAACAAGACACAAAAAGCUGAAGCCAGGAUGAUAGAAAAGCAACAAAGAAGACACGGUCCUUACUCAUUUCCCUUCCCGCUUCAGAGCAAAUAUGGUGCCUGGUGUUCGAAGGGAGAACUUGUGGGCAGAGCAGGAAGCGUGAGUAUGGUUGAAGGAUCAAAUAUUUGGUUCAGGCGUCAGGGAGCCAGCAAGACUAUGAUGCUGGGAAACACAAGUGAUGUACUGUUGGAUUUAAUCUACUUGGAAAAAACCUAGGAAAACCAAAGUGUCAUCAACUAACACCUGAAAUGCCUCAGCACCAUCUGUCUACAACAUUAAACAAAACCCAGGAGAUUCUGGGAGAAAGAAAAUAGGAAAUUUAAUGAUGAACUUAACCUGAGUAACUUGAUAAAUGUUACCUUUGUGGCUAGCCGUUCACCAGCAAGUCCCUAAAAUGACCUGAAACCUGAAGAGUGUUUCACCCAUGAAAGGGUUUGCUCUCUCUGGCAUGGCUACCCAGCACAUGUUAGUCAACUUUCUUUCCCUUG
RNAcentral lists this long non-coding RNA (832 nucleotides) under Pongo abelii (Sumatran orangutan). RNAcentral's name for it is "lincRNA". The record is from RNAcentral. Lineage: Eukaryota; Metazoa; Chordata; Mammalia; Primates; Hominidae.